Molecule: transfer RNA, 73 nt
Filed under: Chloroflexota bacterium
Lineage: Bacteria; Bacillati; Chloroflexota
Description: Chloroflexi bacterium (rhizosphere metagenome) tRNA-Phe
Rfam family: tRNA
About the family: Transfer RNA (tRNA) molecules are approximately 80 nucleotides in length. Their secondary structure includes four short double-helical elements and three loops (D, anti-codon, and T loops). Further hydrogen bonds mediate the characteristic L-shaped molecular structure. tRNAs have two regions of fundamental functional importance: the anti-codon, which is responsible for specific mRNA codon recognition, and the 3' end, to which the tRNAs corresponding amino acid is attached (by aminoacyl-tRNA synthetases). tRNAs cope with the degeneracy of the genetic code in two manners: having more than one tRNA (with a specific anti-codon) for a particular amino acid; and 'wobble' base-pairing, i.e. permitting non-standard base-pairing at the 3rd anti-codon position.
Source: RNAcentral
GCCGAGGUAGCUCAGUCGGUAGAGCAUACGACUGAAAAUCGUAGUGUCGGGAGUUCGAUUCUCCCCCUCGGCA